GGGUGACGAAGCGACGCCGCGUGGGUGAGGAAGGCCCUCGGAUUGUAAAGCCCUGUCAGGAGUUAAGAGAUGUAGAUACGCUAAUAUCGUAUCUAUUUGACAAAGGCUCCAAAGGAAGCCACGGCUAACUCUGUGCCAGCAGCCGCGGUAAUACAGAGGUGGCAAGCGUUGUUCGGAAUUAUUGGGCGUAAAGAGCACGUAGGUGGAUUUGUAAGUCAGAUGUGAAAGCCUUCUGUUCAACGGAAGAAUUGCAUCUGAAACUACAAACCUUGAGUAUAGGAGGGGAGAAUGGAACUUCUGGUGGAGCGGUGAAAUGCGUAGAUAUCAGAAGGAACGCCGGCGGCGAAAGCGAUUCUCUGGCCUAUUACUGACACUCAGUGUGCGAAAGCUAGGGGAGCAAACGGGAUUAGAUACCCCGGUAGUCCUAGCCGUAAACGAUGGGCACUAAGUAGAGG
RNAcentral lists this ribosomal RNA (455 nucleotides) under uncultured anaerobic ammonium-oxidizing bacterium. Its description in RNAcentral is "bacterial SSU rRNA". It matches the Rfam family "Bacterial small subunit ribosomal RNA", at positions 381 to 826 of the family's 1533-position model. The record is from RNAcentral.